GCUGAACCUGUUUUCCUGCCCUUUUUCUGGUGGAUUGGAAGCUCGGAGCAUUCUGGAUGUUGAGGUUGCAUGUUGGGUGUGAAGCCAGUGGCUGAUUCCACUGGUGGCACAUGUGCACACCAACCCUGCGAGCACAGCUGUGGGACCAGGCUUGGAAAAGUGGAAUCGAAUCCCUCUCUGCAGAUGAGCACGAAUUGGAGACCUCUUGUGAGGAGAGCACGGGCUGUGCGGAGGAGCUGCCAGCAGGAGAGGGCAGCUCCGGCAGUGGCUCUGGCAGCCCCAGCAGCAGCUCCAGCAGCAGCUCAGAAGAUGACUCAGAUACAGAGGAGUCGGACACAAGGCGGUCAGAUGAAGAGCAAGAAAAGAAAGAAUCGCAGCCAGUUCGCAGUGAAUCAGAUGGAGCGGACUGUCUGCCCCACUGUGAGCACUGCAGAAAGGAAAAUGCCCAGAGGGAGCAAGUGACCCCUAGGAAGCUUUCUGGAGGACAAUAUUUGAUGAAGCUGGAUGCAGAAGGCACAUACGAGUGCAGUGUCACCGGUCUGAUUUUUGAGGUGAACAAGGCGGUCACCAUCAACUACUCCCUGCUGUCCUGGAGCAAAUACGCCGGGCUGGUAAAGGCGCCGUGGGUGGUGGGCGGCCCGCUGUUCGACGUGCGCUGCGAGGCGCCCUCCGCCCUCACCUCCAUCUCCUUCCCGCACUCCCUCUGCCUCGGCGAUGGUGGCUCCCAGCCGGCCUUCAAGGUGCUGCACAUCAAGGGUGCAGGUGCGGCCAUGGAGCCGUCCACGGACUUCUCGGCCUCACACGUGCGGUGGCUGGUCAGCUCGCUGUCCCCCGUCGGGCCGCUCAUCCGCGGUGAGGAGCCCCUGCUCUACCACGGAGCUGUCAUCCUCUACAAGGCCAUCGAUGACGACCCCUCCUUGCUGUUCCGGGUCUACGUGGCGACGAACAACGACUCCUUCAUCAAGGAUAUAUCAAGAGCAGUAAAACAUUCCAAAAAGAAAUUCAUUAAAAUUGACAAGCCCCCUGUGUGCCAGAAAUUAUUACAGAAGGGAAAGAGAUACAGAUUAAUUUGUGAACCAGAAGCUGAAAUAACUCCAGAGGAAAUUGAAUUUGUUGAUGGAUCUCUUUUGAAGCUGAAAAGUUACAUUGAAGUCUAUUUUGAGAAACCUGAUGACUUCACCUUAUCUUUGGUUGAACUGGACUCGGAUGCAGUUGUGUGGAAAGCAAAACUCAGAGAAAGUGACUGGAUACAUUAUGAUCAGAACAAAAAUGAGCAAACAAGAGUUCCAAGCAGCGUCAAAAGGCGGAAAUCAACCAACAGCUUUUCUGAAGAAGAGAAACACUGUAGCAAAAAGCAAAGGCCUAACAGUUAUACAGAUGGAAUUAAAAGCAGAAGCUUGCUAACUGAUCGACAGCUGAUGGUAAUUGCAAAGUUGUUUGGCGUGGAGUGGAAAGAAAUUGCCAUUGAAUGUCUUCAGAUGGAAAUGAAAGACAUUCAGCAGAUUCAAGCAAACGAAGAGGCAGUCAAUAUCCAGAAAUUUCUGAUGUUAAGCAAGUGGAGAGAAAGAGAGCAAAGCAAUGGAACUGCACAAGCCUUGUGCAAUAGGCUCCGUGAAAAAGUGUCAUAUGAAAUAGUGCAGGCACUGGAAGGCUUUUUGGCUGAGUGAUGAGUUGGAGAAGCUGAUGAGAAGCUCAGGAACUUUCCCCACCCAAUGGUUAAACUUUUCAAGCUAUUUUCCUGGGAUUUCAUUGUGAUGAAGAUCCAAAUCGUAAUCAGUCAGCGGAAAGUUUAGAGUGUCUUCAACAGAAAUGUGAAUGAAAUUUUGCACCUACGCAAGUCUCUGUGCUGAGAUACAGCUGUCUGCUGCUUGUACGUCACAAGCCAUAUUCUCACCCCUUUGUGCUCCUCUCCUUGGUCAAAUGGUGUUUCUGGUCAGGCCUUUUCCUGGGGAUCCCUUGUGCAUCCCUUGUGGGCUCUUCUGCUGCUGUAGGAUUUAGGGGACACGCAGUGGGACACAGGAACAGCUUGUGGAGCUGCCCUUGGCUCUUCUCUCUGAGGCAAGCAAAGGAGAAUUGCCAUCAGGGACACAGGGUGCCUUGCCCAGGGGAGCUGGGUGGUUGGUGGGGACAACCAGCCCACAGCAUGGGGUUGGAACAGCAUGGGCUUUAGGGUCCCUUCCAACCUAAGCCAUCCUCCCUGCAGCAGCCGGGGCGAUGCCAGUGUCCCCAUCUCUCCAAGCAGAUUCCUGCUGGUCAGUGGUUCUUCUCAUUGCUGCUGAAGUUUUCACUUCUCUUACAACAUUUCAAGUCAGCUGCUGCUUUCUCUCUGCUUUUGUGGUGAGAGACCCUGUAUAAGCAAGCAGAGCAGUGGUGAGCUUGGAAAAGGGAGUGGGAGGGUGCUUGUCUCAGCAUCUCUCCCUGGGUUUUCAACUGAAGCUCAGUUUUUGUUUCAAAAUGACAGGGGGUUCUCUCUGUAUGCUAAGAAGUUAAUAAACAGCUGUCGUUCUCCAUGUGCAACAGCAGGCACCAAUAAUAAAAAAGCAGGUGACAUUAUGCAGUUUUGCCCUAUUGAAGAUUGAAACAAUUUAUCUCAUAAAAGAGAGCAUGAGGGGGAUACAUUUCCCAGAAUAUCAGUGCUAGUUUUACCACAAGCCAGUGGUUCUAGUGCGUGCAGAUAGUAAUUCACAACACCAAAUGCCUUUGUUGGAGGGUGUGAUGCCUUACCUUUGUAAGCUCACUACCCAAUUAGCUAAUUUCUUCUCAAUUAUGGCACUGAGAGCAGGGAUGUUUGCGUAUCCUCAGUGGUUAUUUCUUAGAUAGGUUCUUAAAUAUGAAUCUCUCCAAACACACAACAUCAAGUGGGUUUGCAAGAAGAGAGGAAGACUUUCCCUGCAAUGGAAGAGAUGGAGGGGAAAGGCUGUGCCCAGCUGCCUGCCUGGCACAGCAGGGAUCAGAUAGUAGCUGUGGAGCAUGGAGGAAAACCAGUAUCAACCUGCCAAACUCCCAGCUCCCCGGUGACUGCACAACGCAACGCUGCUCCUAAAACCCCAUUAAAGAUGGAAGGAACAAGAUGGAAGUGCUUACUUGCAUCAUGUCGUCAAUGGAUGUCAGCACCCUCAGAUCCUUGAGGUUCCUCAGCUCUGCCUUGUAGGUUUUCAGAUCUUCGUAGAUCCCCCGCAGGCAUUUGCUCUGCAAAAGUCAGGAUUAAUAAGAGAUGCUGGAACUUGUUGCCAAGUGCUAGAAGUGCUAAACAAAGGUUCUCUAUAGAGGCUCACAGCUUACCGUAUCUAAAGUAGAACUUUCCAGUACUGGACAGUUUCCAGCCUGCAAAUAAAUUAAAGAAGAAGUGAUCAUUUCAUUUAGUGACAACGUGUUAUACGGCUGCUGGAGAAAAUAUGAUGCUGAAAGCUGGCUGUUUUGGUUUUACCCCUGGAUCCUCAGAUGUGCAGGAUUUUAUUGUGUUGAUUUGGCUGUUGGUGACAUCUUCAAGAUCAACCUCUUCAAGGGUGCAUUCAAAUCCCAGCACUCCCUGUUUCUGUGUUAAAAAGGGGGGAAAAGGGGUAAAUGAUUCAGCUUCAGAAAACAGCAAUUAGAGAGUCUCGAAAUCACUGAAUGUUUGUGCUGAAUAUAAAGCACUAGAAAGUGAAAAAAAGAAAAUACAGAGGCAGUGCUCACUGAUACCCUGCAACUUUGGGAAACUCUUUAGUGGUUUUCUUUCGUGCUUCUCUGAGAUGAAGCUUGCAACUCUAACAGGGGACUUUGGCAGAAAUUCUCAUCUUGAUGGGGAUUUAGGGGCAGAAGGGCUCUGUAACAGCAAAGCCAGAGCACCAGCAUGCAAAUGCAACGAGCUUGGGAGCAGGUGUCUGCAGAGGCGUUAGAGAAACAAGUGCUCAAAAGCAAGCAGUGCGAUUGGUUGAUGAGAUGGAUGAGAGCUGAGAGACACCUGUGCAAACACAGGUGCUGCUGAUGGUGUGGGUGGGCACUAGGAGCAGUUACUGGCCUGCUGGCAGUUCAAAAGGAGACUUCCCCGAGCUGAGUGCACGGUGUAUGUGCCUGCCUGGGAUUUAUCUCCAACAUUUCUCCCACUUGGAUAGCAUCAGGAACCCAUCCCCAUCAUCCUGGGUGCCUUCACCAGCACAUCAUCUGCCUGGACACCAUCCCCAGCCUGUCUCCUGCUUGCUGAGGUUCUGUGGCCCUGAACUGCCAGAUGGGGUGGUUUUAACCACUGAGAGGGGCGAACACAGCUGUAUGGCUGGGCAUACAGAAACGUGGCCUUGCACACAUCAGGCACAAACACUGCUGCUGGGAUGCCUCAUCCCCUUAUGAGAGGUGAGCACAAGGCGCUCCCACCUGAGCCAGCCUUUGCUACUGGAGCAGCACAACGUGGCAAAAUGGCCCCAAAGUGCCCCAAAAUGCUGCGAAAUGCCAAGAGAGCUCUCAGCACCUGGCCUGCUUCAGGGGAAGGAGGGCAGAACAACAAUAAGUAAGUGUCAGUUUAAUAAAAUACAUUCGUGGUGGGGGGAUGGAAUUUGGAUGCGUCUCAUGCUUUGCUGCAGACACCCUGAAUAAGUCAUCAGCCGAGUGCUUUGCUAAGGGCAAUCUGUCAUGGGGCUGGGGGGAAUGAAAAUGUGGAAGGCAAAGGUCCCUGCUCCUGGGAGCAGAGCAGGGCAGGGACACAGUGCCCACAGAGCAGGGCACAGCCCCAAGGCAGGGGGGAGCUGCUGCCAUAUUGCAUACAUUUCAGAUGCUGCUGAAGAUUUUUAACAUAGAUUCUUCUUUCUCUAAACUUCUGACACGGGGGAGUCAUUGAGCUAUUCAGCAUGGAUAAUAAAAUAUAGAAACAUCUAUGUGUGUGCCUGGGCCUAACAACAGUCACAAUAUUAGGGCCUGCUGAAUGCUAGUAUAGAAGAAUAGCUGAAGCCCGUGUCAUACAUACAUGAUGAGCUUACAGGUAAGUAGCUGUACAACAGUCCUGUCUUCUCUGCACAACUGUACGUGCUUGGCUCUUUUUGGUGAUGACAAAGGAGGCAUUGCACACUGAGUUGGCUGAGUACAUCACCGAGUCAACCACCGGCCAACAAAAAGACGUGUCAUAUGAAACAAGUUUUUAAAUGUUUAUUUUACAUCUUUAUACAUAAAACUUUCCAGGUAACUCUUUGAAACCCAACUCAAUGUUAAUAGCACAUCUAAAAAUGAACGUCAGGUAGUCAACAUUCACAAAAUGUUGAAAACUGAUUAAAAUGUACAUAUUACCGAAGGUUACGACGUCACUACGAGGCAGGCAUGUCUUUUGGACUUGUAUAGCACCGUCAAGUACAGUCUCUUUAUUUAAAACUACAGUGAAGAAUAAAAAAGUAGUCAAUGGUAAAAUAUCGUCCAACGUAAAACCUCUAAGCAAACAAAAAUAAAGUUAAACUGCCCUCUCUCCUCAGCCAUGUUUUAUAACGUUAUAAGUACUGUACAUCUUUCUGUAAUAAUAUUAUUAAAACGCCUGAUAUUGAGUGGCACGAGUAAAAAAAGAAAAAAAAUAAUUAAAAUAAAUUAAGAAGCGGAGGCCAAUCACCGGACAUAAAGCUUCGGACACGACCAAGGACUAACACUGAUUUGCUGCGCGCCACUGAGGACAUCAGCACGUGUACAGACACAGAAGCGAGGGACAGGCGAGCUCCAUCUCUGCUGCCACAGACUCUGGGGUUACUUUGCUGGCAUCUUCUCUGCCAUGUGCUUCUGCUGGCUCUCGGCAUGUCUGGGAAGGAGCAGCCUGGUUAUGCGUUGGCAAAAGCAUGGAGGUGGGGUAGUGGGACUCUGUAUGCUCACGUCUCCUCCCAGAUCCUGCUCUUGUGGGAUUGAGGUCACCCACAGCCCAAUCCCACCGACCUCCCAUGCUACCCGCAUCUCACCGCGGUGGUGACAUCCCCAUCACCUCCUGCCACCAAUGGGGUUAAGCCAUAGGGCUGCUGCAUGGACACAGCCCGUUUUUCUGCUGGCUUGGUGGCUUCCAAAGGCUGACAGUGGGGGCAAAUGGCCCCUGGACCCCUCCCUCACCUGGUCAGGUCCUCGAUGUCCACCAGCAUCGCAUCCUGCUCCGUGUGCAGCUCAUCCCGGAUGAGCAGCAGCUGCACCAGCUCCUCGUUCAAGCCUGGGGCCGGAGAGAGAGGAGGAGAGUUCGCGCUGAGCAGGGGGAGGUUUGCAAGGAGAGGAAUUUUGCAGUGCUUCAGCCACAGGCAUGAGCAGCUCCACAUCCCUAGCAGGAGCUGCCAGGAGGGACGGUAAUUAACGAACGCGAGCAGUUACAGAGUUGCAGAGCAGCCCAAUGAACGUGUUGGGGCUAUUUUUGUCCUACAGCCACCUGAGACAUUUCCUUUAAGAUUAAUUAAUCAUUGAUAAGGGAAGGUGGAGAUGCAGGGGAAUAACCCUGGCUUCUUUGGAGAGAGCAAAGACAGACAAGGAGGCAAACGCAAGGAUACGUGAGCCAUGUUAAUGUGCUGCAAGACAGAACAUAUGAACUCAGUGGUGUCUAUUGGACCAGAGGGCUUCUCCACUUCUGGAUGCUGCUGAGGCCAUGCAGAGCAUCGUAUCAAAACACAGCCAUAAGGCUGCAUGAAGCCACAAAACUGGCAGUAUUUCUGGCUGCUUUUAGAGGCUGAAGCAAUGCUACCUUACUGAAUGCCUUCUGAAUGCUUGAUGGAUAAAAAGAAAGCAAAAAGCCAAAGGAGCCAGACCUAGCAAACAGCCCACCUCCAGCAGCUCUCCUCUAUGGUUCCAUUCCUGUACAUUUAUCAGCGUUUUUACAUAUAUAAAAUAUAUAUAUAUCCUGAAGUAGACGGUGCUUACUGAAGAAUAAUUAAACAAAGACCACUUACUUUCUA
This is an RNA transcript of Tympanuchus pallidicinctus (lesser prairie-chicken), 6869 nucleotides long. It is a transcript of the gene named caspase recruitment domain-containing protein 8-like, with no coding region annotated. The record is from RefSeq and is a predicted model, not a curated record. Lineage: Eukaryota; Metazoa; Chordata; Aves; Galliformes; Phasianidae. The transcript has 20 exons.